Molecule: long non-coding RNA, 220 nt
Organism: Eptesicus fuscus (big brown bat)
Lineage: Eukaryota; Metazoa; Chordata; Mammalia; Chiroptera; Vespertilionidae
Exons: 3
Source: RefSeq, a predicted model, not a curated record
CUGUGACAUAGAAGAAAAAAGUUCACAUCCAAAAUACAAGGAUUUUAAAAAAGCCCUGACAGAAAUAUAAAACAAGAAAACCUGGACAAAGAAAAACUGGGCAGCUCUCGGAGGGGUCGGCUGAACUCUUCCAGCUCCCGGACAUCCUUCUUCUCGGGGAGCCCCGAGUAACCCAGACCCCGGCACUCCAGAAUGGUCUUCAGCUUCUUGAAGCUCAGAG